Molecule: long non-coding RNA, 946 nt
Organism: Lolium rigidum
Lineage: Eukaryota; Viridiplantae; Streptophyta; Magnoliopsida; Poales; Poaceae
Exons: 3
Source: RefSeq, a predicted model, not a curated record
ACGAGGAGAUUGCCAGCAGCCCGAGCUGCAGCCGGGAGCGAGGCAUGGGCGGAGGACCUUGCUGCGUCCGGGGCACGGGAAUCAAGCAGCAAGCCGGAGACCGCCGGUGAUCAUAGAGGCGCUGGUUAAGAGAGACGGAUCAACGGAGGCAUCUACAUCGAGCUAUCAAGGAAGUGCAAAAAAUGCAGAGGGAGGCUGGAAGGGGAAGGGAGCAGCGAAGAGGAUAGAUAAUUUACUUUUCUAAAAAAAUUCAAUUGUGUCCAUCGGUGAGACAGUGACUAGCGACGGUGAUGGAGGAAAGCUUGUUGAUCACGCCACUCGAACCAGGAUAAGGUUCAUAUUUUCCGGACAAGUCUGUGAGUGCAGUUUAUAUUAUUUUUCGGCAUCUAUUCACGAAAUUUAGGGCUUUCCUUACCUUUAUAUUACUAGAGAGAAACGGAGAAUGUGUAGAUGGAGUAUUUGUUCGGAGUCAAGGUAGGAGAUAGAACAACUGAUGUGUAGGACUCACAUACAUAGUAUACAUAAAAUGCAGGCUAAAAAGAGAUCUACCUGUUUACCAAGGAUUUGUUUGUAAGUGCUGGAGCUGACAAAUAGGUAUACUAUAUAAAUAAUAUAUGUUCAAAGUUUAGUCGAUAAAUAAAUAAUAUUAUACCCUAUAUAAAGGGUGGACGGAUUCACGUUCUUGGGCUGUUCGGGACACUGUUGAUGGCGAUUUUUUACCAAUUGGUGGUUUCUGUUUGCCUCUCUCCAGUCAAAAGCGCUGGCUUUUGUGAACUGCCCACCUCCAGAAAAUUCUGCCCAUACAUGUUGCCAUAGAACAUAGGAGAAGAUCUCACCGCCUUGAGAGGAACCAAAAUUUGUCCCCUCUACCUUCGAUUAGGCCUUCCCUGAUCCAUUCCUCUCUUCCUCUCUCAUGUUGGCAUCCUGCACCUCGGUGCACGUCUCC